CCUACGGGUGGCAGCAGUGGGGAAUAUUGCACAAUGGGGGAAACCCUGAUGCAGCGACGCCGCGUGAGUGAAGAAGUAUUUCGGUAUGUAAAGCUUUAUUAGCAGGGAAGAAAAAACACGGUACCUGACCAAGAAGCCUCGGCUAACUACGUGACCGCAGCCUCGGUAAUACGUAGGGGGCACGCGUUAUCCGGAUUUACUGGGUGUAACGGGAGCGUAGACGGAGAAGCAAGUCUGAAGUGAAAGCCCGUGGCUUAACCACGGGACUGCUUUGGAAACUGUUUGACUAGAGUGCUAGAGAGGUAAGUGGAAUGCCUGGUGUAGCGGUGAAAUGCGUAGAUAUUAGGAAGAACACCAGUGGCGAAGGCGGCUUACUGGACAGUAACUGACGUUGAGGCUCGAAAGCGUGGGGAGCAAACAGGAUUAGAUACCCCUGUAGUC
RNAcentral lists this ribosomal RNA (441 nucleotides) under uncultured bacterium. RNAcentral's name for it is "partial 16S ribosomal RNA". It matches the Rfam family "Bacterial small subunit ribosomal RNA", at positions 338 to 795 of the family's 1533-position model. The record is from RNAcentral.